GAUGUACGCUAGCUACAGGCUUAACACAUGCAAGUCGAGGGGAAACGACAUCGAAAGCUUGCUUUUGAUGGGCGUCGACCGGCGCACGGGUGAGUAACGCGUAUCCAACCUGCCCAUCACUUGGGAAUAACCUUGCGAAAGUAAGACUAAUACCCAAUGACAUCCCACGAAGACAUCUGAAUGGGAUUAAAGAUUUAUCGGUGAUGGAUGGGGAUGCGUCUGAUUAGCUUGUUGGCGGGGUAACGGCCCACCAAGGCAACGAUCAGUAGGGGUUCUGAGAGGAAGGUCCCCCACAUUGGAACUGAGACACGGUCCAAACUCCUACGGGAGGCAGCAGUGAGGAAUAUUGGGCAAUGGGCGAGAGCCUGAACCAGCCAAGUAGCGUGCAGAAUGACGGCCCUAUGGGUUGUAAACUGCUUUUAUAAGGGAAUAAAGUGGGUCUCGUGAGACUUUUUGCAUGUACCUUAUGAAUAAGGACCGGCUAAUUCCGUG
Molecule: ribosomal RNA, 492 nt
Filed under: uncultured bacterium
Lineage: Bacteria
Description: partial 16S ribosomal RNA
Rfam family: Bacterial small subunit ribosomal RNA
Source: RNAcentral